UAACAAGGAUUCCCCUAGUAACUGCGAGUGAAGCGGGAUAAGCUCAAAUUUAAAAUCUGGUAGCUUCGCUGCCCGAGUUGUAAUCUGGAGAAGUGCUUUCCGUGCUGGACCGUGUACAAGUCUCUUGGAACAGAGCGUCAUAGAGGGUGAGAAUCCCGUCUUUGACACGGACUACCAGUGCUUUGUGAUGCGCUCUCAAAGAGUCGAGUUGUUUGGGAAUGCAGCUCAAAAUGGGUGGUAAAUUCCAUCUAAAGCUAAAUAUUGGCGAGAGACCGAUAGCGAACAAGUACCGUGAGGGAAAGAUGAAAAGAACUUUGGAAAGAGAGUUAAACAGUACGUGAAAUUGCUGAAAGGGAAACGCUUGAAGUCAGUCGCGUUGGCCGGAACUCAGCCUGGCUUUGGCUUGGUGCAUUUUCUGGUUGACGGGUCAGCAUCAGUUUUGAUUGUCGGAUAAUGGUUGGGGGAAUGUGGCAUCUUCGGAUGUGUUAUAGCCCUCAGUCGCAUACGAUGGUUGGGACUGAGGAUCUCAGCACACCUUUAUGGUCGGGGUUCGCCCACGUUUGUGCUUAGGAUGCUGGCAUAAUGGCUUUAAACGAC
RNAcentral lists this ribosomal RNA (597 nucleotides) under Postia cf. subcaesia KUC20130808-39. Its description in RNAcentral is "eukaryotic LSU rRNA". It matches the Rfam family "Eukaryotic large subunit ribosomal RNA", at positions 66 to 648 of the family's 3401-position model. Lineage: Eukaryota; Fungi; Basidiomycota; Agaricomycetes; Polyporales; Postiaceae. The record is from RNAcentral.